This 253-nucleotide ribosomal RNA is filed under the name uncultured bacterium. Its description in RNAcentral is "partial 16S ribosomal RNA". It matches the Rfam family "Bacterial small subunit ribosomal RNA", at positions 524 to 776 of the family's 1533-position model. The record is from RNAcentral.
UACGGAGGGUGCAAGCAUUGAUCGGAAUUACUGGGCGUAAAGGGCGCGUAGGCGGCUCGAAAAGUCAGAGGUGAAAUUCCGGGGCUCAACCCCGGAACAGCAUUUGAAACUAUCGAACUAGAGUACAGUUAGGGUAAACGGAAUUCCACGUGUAGCGGUGAAAUGCGUAGAUAUGUGGAAGAACACCGGUGGUGAAGACGGUUUACUGGGCUGAAACUGACGCUGAGGCGCGAAAGCAUGGGGAGCAAACAGG